GACGUAGGAGGCGAGCGUUAUCCGGAUUUACUGGGUGUAAAGCGCAUGCAGGCGGUUCGCUAAGUUGGGUGUGAAAGCUCCUGGCUCAACUGGGAGAGGUCGCUCAAAACUAGCGGGCUUGAGACUGGUAGGGGAAAGUGGAAUUCCGGGUGUAGUGGUGAAAUGCGUAGAUAUCCGGAGGAACACCAGUGGCGAAGGCGGCUUUCUGGACCAGAUCUGACGCUCAGAUGCGACAGCUAGGGGAGCAAACGGG
RNAcentral lists this ribosomal RNA (253 nucleotides) under uncultured Longilinea sp. RNAcentral's name for it is "partial 16S ribosomal RNA". It matches the Rfam family "Bacterial small subunit ribosomal RNA", at positions 524 to 776 of the family's 1533-position model. Lineage: Bacteria; Bacillati; Chloroflexota; Anaerolineae; Anaerolineales; Anaerolineaceae. The record is from RNAcentral.